Molecule: ribosomal RNA, 866 nt
Filed under: Clavulina sp.
Lineage: Eukaryota; Fungi; Basidiomycota; Agaricomycetes; Cantharellales; Hydnaceae
Description: partial large subunit ribosomal RNA
Rfam family: Eukaryotic large subunit ribosomal RNA
Source: RNAcentral
CCCCUAGUAACGGCGAGUGAAGCGGGAAGAGCUCAAAUUUAAAAUCUGGCAAUCUUUGGUUGUCCGAAUUGUAAUCUAGAGAAGCGUUUUCUGCGCUGGACUGUGUGCAAGUUUCCUGGAUACGGAACAUCAUAGAGGGUGAGAAUCCCGUCCUUGACACAGACUCCCAGUGCUCUGUGAUGCGCUCUCGACGAGUCGAGUUGUUUGGGAUUGCAGCUCAAAAUGGGAGGUAAAUUCCUUCUAAAGCUAAAUAUUGGCGAGAGACCGAUAGCGAACAAGUACCGUGAGGGAAAGAUGAAAAGCACUUUGGAAAGAGAGUUAAACAGUACGUGAAAUUGUUAAAAGGGAAACGCUUGAAGUCAGUCGCGUUUGCCUGGACUCAACCACACCGUUCGGUUUGGUGCAUUUCCUUGUAGACGGGCCAGCGUUCAUGUUGUUUGCCGGAGAAGGGGCGAGGGAAUGUGGCUCCUUUGGGAGUGUUAUAGCCCUCGCUCGCAUGCGGGGAAUGAUAUGGAGUGGAACAGCACGCUUCGGUGGUGCUUGUGUUGGCAUAAUGGCUUUAAACGACCCGUCUUGAAACACGGACCAAGGAGUCUAACAUGUCUGCGAGUGUUUGGGUGGAAAACCCGGGCGCGUAAUGAAAGUGGAUGGCUGGGAACCCCGUUUGGGAGGCACCGGCGCCCCGAGCUGACCUUCUGUGACGCAUCGGAGGCAGAGCAUAUAUGUUGGGACCCGAAAGAUGGUGAACUAUGCCUGAAUAGGGCGAAGCCAGAGGAAACUCUGGUGGAGGCUCGUAGCGAUUCUGACGUGCAAAUCGAUCGUCAAAUUUGGGUAUAGGGGCGAAAGACUAAUCGAACCAUCUAGUA